AUGAAUGUCACACUCAUGCUUAGAUGGAUUUGGAGGGUCAUGCGAGGCGAUGGGGGCUCAUGGCUUCAGAUCAUCCCAGCAAAAUACCUAAGGGGUGAACCCCUGCUGGCAUGCUCCCGCUUUGGAGGAUCCCAGUUUUGGCAAUCCAUCCAAAGGAUCAAGGAGGAUAUUUGUGUAGGAAUCUCCUUCUCUAUAGGUAAUAGGGAUGGGACCCAAUUCUGGCUGGACCCAUGGAUGGGUACCAACCCCCUCAGAAUUGAAUUCCCUAUCCUAUUUUUGAUCUGUGCGAACCCGUGA
This 297-nucleotide ribosomal RNA is filed under the name Triticum aestivum (bread wheat). RNAcentral describes it as "partial small subunit ribosomal RNA". The record is from RNAcentral. Lineage: Eukaryota; Viridiplantae; Streptophyta; Magnoliopsida; Poales; Poaceae.